Molecule: unclassified non-coding RNA, 4966 nt
Filed under: Diabrotica virgifera virgifera (western corn rootworm)
Lineage: Eukaryota; Metazoa; Arthropoda; Insecta; Coleoptera; Chrysomelidae
Description: zinc finger protein 664-like
Source: RNAcentral
GAACGAUCAGCAGCCGUUGCCAACCGUCAGACGCAAGCGCGUUCGUAGUCUACGAACUCGAACUGUUAACUGCGCAGCGCUAACUGUUAACUGCGGAUGCGUCUGAUGGUUGGCAACCGUUGCUGAUCGAUUGGAUCGUACUACGAACAAACCUAUUGUUUUGCUUUUGCCUGCGUGCAUUCUUGUUCAUUAAUCAUUAAUUUGUUAGUUUAUUGUUCAUUUUGUAUUUUUUAUACCUACUACAUUGUAAACACAGCACAUGCACAUCCCCCCUUAUUAAUUAUUUAUCUGUGAUUGUAAAUACUGCAGGAAUAGGGAAUGUUAAGGUGGAAAAGUGGAGAACAUUCACAGCAGUUAAAAUAAUUAUUGUUUAUGAUAUUUUAUACAAUAAAUAUGUAAAUCGGAUCACCAUCUGGAUUUCAAAUAAACACCGUAUUGUACUGGGACCACUACCAGGUGUUUUAUUAUCAUUGAAUCAAUGUACUAAAUAAUUCUGUAUAUUUCAAAUAUAUUCAUUCAGUUUAUAUGUCAGCUAUGGAUUUUAAAGUUGAAAUUAAGGAUGAGCCUGUCGAAUAUAUCCAAAAGGAUACAGAGAGCCAGCUAUCCACAUCCAUAGAUCUGGAAAACUUCAAAAAUGAAAAAGAAGAUAAAUCAGAAAUGGGACUAAACGCUGAAAUCAAGGAAGAGUUUUCAGACAGUUGUCAAGUAUAUACAAAGGAUCAGCUGUUUACAUCGCCAGAUCUUAAAGACUUGGUUAAUGAAGCAGAUGAAGAUAACUCAGGGCUUUCUCAGAACGGAAUGGAAAUCAUGAAAACUGAACUUACAUGCACUACAGAACAACAAACAAGAGCAAACACUGAAGAAAAACCAUCAACAAAUUCUAUUUGUGAAUGUAAAAUUUGUUUUAAGCAAUUUAGUCAAGCACGUUCUUUGAAACGACAUAUAAAAACGCACAGUGCAGAAAAAAAUCUUAACAAGUGCAAAAUUUGUUUUAAGCAGUUUUCUCAAAAACAUUAUUUAAAGAGUCAUUUAAGAUUGCACACUGGAGAAACUCCUUAUAAGUGUGAAAUUUGUUUAAAGCAGUUUGUCCAAAUGCACGAUUUGAAAAUUCAUUUUAGAGUGCACACUGGAGAAAAGCCUUAUAAGUGUGAAAUUUGUUUUAAGCAGUUUACUCAAACGAGUAAUUUGACCAAACAUAGACAAGUUCACACUGGAGAAAAGCCUUACGAGUGUGAAAUUUGUUUUAAGCAGGUAGCUACAAAAUAUCAAUUAAAAUGUCAUUUGAUGGUGCAUACUGGAGAAAAACCUCACAAGUGUGAAAUUUGUUUUAAGCAGUUUAGUCAUGCACAUAGUUUGCAAGGUCAUUUGAGAGUGCACACUGGAAAGAAGCCUUACAAGUGUGAAAUCUGUUUGAAGCAGUUUACACAAAAACAUCAUUUAAACGAUCAUUUACAAUUGCACACUGGAGAAACUCCUUAUAAGUGUGAAGUUUGUUUUAAACACUACACUUGUAAAAAUUCUUUGAAUGUACAUAAAAGAUUUCACACUGACGAAAAGCCUUACAAGUGUGAAAUUUGUUUAAAGCAGUUUGUUAGAGCACAAGAGUUGAAACGUCAUUCGAGAGUACAUACUGGAGAAAAGCCUUAUAAGUGUGGAAUUUGUUUUAAACAGUUUAGUCAUGCACAUAAUUUGAAAGGUCAUUUAAAAGUGCACAAGGAGAAAAGCCUUAAUGUAAAUUCCCAGAUAGCAAUAUAAACCUGUUUCAAACUUGCAAUAAGUUUGAUACAUCAAACAUGAAAGCUUGCUGCAGGUUUGCCAUGGCAACUUUGCAAGCUUGCAACAAGUUUAAAUCAUGCUAGUUGGAGUGUGACACACUUGCAUGAAGUUUGUUACUUGAUACAAACUUGAUAUAGUAAACAUGCUGAAGGUUUGUUUUUGUUUUGUUGCAUGAAGUUUGUAUUUUCAAACUUGAUACAAACUUGCUUAAGGUUUGUUUUGACAUACUAGCCACAAUUUGAAGAAAACAAUGUGAAUAAAAAAUACAAUACCAUUUUAUAUAACUAUUUAUUCAGUAAUUACUCAACUAAAAUACAAUUUAUUGUCUAAAAUUAUUUAUUGGAACUUACAUUUAACCUGCUAGCUUCAUAUUCCGAUGAUCAGUUUUGUCUCAGCUCUGAAACAAAUAAAAGAAAUUGUUAUAAAGUCUUGCUGUGUGAACAGAAUUAAUAUUUGCUAUUAAAAGAGAAAAACAUGUUAAAGUAGCAAUUUUACAAUAAAACCUAAAACUUAUUUAUAAAUAAUAUAUUAUAAUAUGUUUAUUUUAGAUAGUAUGUAUGUAAAUAUAGUUAGAAAAUACGAAAAACAUAAAAAAACUUACCUCAAUUUCACCAAAGCAAAAAGAAUACCAAUCUGUACCUAAUCACCACAAGCAGGUGGGUCUAUGAAAAACUAAAGAAAACAAGCUUCAGCUUAGUAAUUAAAGUAAUAGUCUCGGAGAAUUGUACGGUAAAUGUUGUAAAAAAAUCAAAGAAAAAUAUCAACAUAGGAUAGGAUAUACCUAACCACAAAUUAUCACCGCUUGGCAUGACGGCAGGUUACUUUUCCCGUGUUGCCAGCUGUCGAGUGAGCUUUUUCCCUCAACGUACCUUAAAAAUUUCCACUUUUAUGAUAAAAUUCCUUCCUAUGCUCCUAUUUAAAAAAUCUGUGAAAAUAUGUUGAAUUAUUUUCAAAUAUUUUGAUUUUUAUAAAUAUUUUACAAUUUGGACUGGAGCAAAGAUUCCCUUAUAAGUUAACUUUUUCCCUUUUAUGUUGAAAAUUGUCGCAGAAAGGGAAAUUUGCCACCGGUGGCAACACUCUCGUUUUCGUUGGUGUGACAUCAGUCAGGGUAACGAACGGAACCGAAUCAACCGUAACGUGUAAGUCAAGCAAAUAGAUGGCACGCGUGACGUGGCUUUGCAACUGUACGCUUGCUGCAAAGUUGCUACAAACUUGAAUCAUCAUCUUUGUCAUAACAAUAUUGCAGCAAACUUGGCACAAACUUGCCUCGUCAUAUUUGACGCAGCAAUUUAAAAUCAAAGAAGAAUCAAACUUGUCACAAGUUUACAUGCUAUCUGGGUUUAAAUCAAAGCGACCACGAACGAAGGAAUGAAUUCGUAGGUGUUUGCUUGGUCAUUCGUUUGCUACAAAGUAGGACUAUUUACAUUGAAGCGAACGUUCGCAUUUGUUGAUGAUCCGUCCGCAAUAUCAAAUACAGAUGAAGAUAAUAUAAUCAUUAGCGCUGCUAGUUUUUUAGUUAUUGCAGGACUUCCGAAAAAAAAAAGAAAAAGAGAGUGUGGUGUUGGAGUUUUUUUAAAAAGAGAAAAAAAAGAUGAGGUGAUGCCUGAAGUGAUUUAAUGACUGACAAUUUAGGCCAAAUUACAAAUUUCUGUAGAAUGUCUAUGGAAGAUUUUGAAAUUUUGUUGAAUUUGAUUGGACCUAGCAUUUCUAAAAAUGAUACAAAUUUCAGUUUUUACGACUACACAAUAAACAACCCUAUCAAAGUAAUUUUUGUAAAUAAAUUAAAUCAGUACUUCUCAACGAAUUCGUUUGUUACCGUCUAUCCACUGUCCACAUUGAACAACUAUUUACUUUGAUGAUUCGCCAACUUACCGACAUCGGUUGGAACAUGUGCGAAUGCGAACGAAUUCGUUCUAUCGUGCUCGAUUCGCUGUACAAGUACAAUAAACUUGUUAUUCAUUUUUGAUUUACAUUUACUCUGAUUGGAGUACAAAGGGAACCAUUCUCGUUGGAACUUUACCACGCUGAGCAGAUGGGACGUGAAUUGUAAAUUGUAGAAUUCCCUCAUCUUCCUUAGUCUCAGCAUCCGUCUGGCUUGCAAAUUGUAGAAGCCUCGGAGGUGUAACCAGAGAAGGUUCCCAUUGUUUUCAUUCUGGUGGGAUGUAUAAUAGCAUUAUGUUGUUUUAUGUGCCAUUACAUGAUACUAUAAAUAACAAGAUAAUAUAUUGCACAUCCUGAAGUCGUGACGUAACUGGAGACCUGCAAGUUUGUAAUGGUUCGUAAUCAUUCGUAAUGUCGGAUUAGUUUGAAUUGUUCGCGGUUGUAAGCUAAGUGUAUUUUAUAUUUUAUUUAUGUCUGUUAUUUUGACAGGAAUCUCGACAAUAAAUAUUUUUCGAAUACAUUGAAGUUUAAUGUUAUGUUGUUAAUUGAAUAAUUUCAUCACAGAACGCAUACAAAUCCCAUUUAAUUUUAACAAGAAUUCAAAUUCAACUUCCGGUCUCCAGUUACGUCAUCAUGCGCGAACUCGGACGUAUUUGAGCUACGGGAAGAUACUAUCUCGUUAUUUAUAGUAUCAUGUGCCAUUAGAGUGAAGACUUAGUCUUUUUACAAUAAAGUUGCUUAUAUAAGCGUAUGGAAAGAUCCAUGCUGGGCGUAACCCUAGAUCUCGGACAAAGAACCGGUAUCACAGAUGUUGUAGAGCGUGUCGCCAAACUCAAAUAAAACUGGGCAGCACACGUCGCCAAGCUGAAGGACUCCAGAUGGACACAAAAACUAAUGGAAUGGAGACCAAGAGAAGAUAAAUGGCAGUAGAGGAAGGCCGCCUACACGAUGGACAGAUGAUAUCAGGCGGAUUAGUAAAAACUGGCAACAAUCGGCACAAAACCGUGAAGUGUGGAAACAAUUGGGGGAGACCCAUGUCCAGCAGUGGGCGUAAGUUGGUUGGAUGAUGAUGAUGAUAUUUGAGAAUGCACACAGGAGAAAACCAUUACAAGUGUGAAAUUUGUUUUAAGCAGUUUUCUCAAAAAAGUAAUCUGAAUACACAUUUUAGAGUGCACACUGGAGAAAAGCCUUCCUCCUCAUCUUCUCUAAUUUGAUUGGCGAUCAAUAUGGCAAAUUUAUCUCUGUUCUGGACUUGUAUGUUAAAAAGUAAUUGUAGAAUUGUAAUGCUGAUAAAUACACUCUGAUAAAA